AAUAUGGCGUGUGACUGGCGGAUAAGUGGAUGAACCACAGGGAGCACGCAGUAUGGAUUUUGUUGGAUUGAGCCGACCGCCUGGGCACGUGUG
Clostridium sp. FS41 is the source of this 93-nucleotide regulatory RNA element. It matches the Rfam family "ZMP/ZTP riboswitch aptamer (pfl RNA motif)". From Rfam's summary of the family: Previously known as pfl RNA. The record is from Rfam. Lineage: Bacteria; Bacillati; Bacillota; Clostridia; Eubacteriales; Clostridiaceae.